UGGGGAAUAUUGCACAAUGGGCGCAAGCCUGAUGCAGCAACGCCGCGUGAGGGAUGACGGCCUUCGGGUUGUAAACCUCUUUUAGCAGGGAAGAAGCGAAAGUGACGGUACCUGCAGAAAAAGCACCGGCUAACUACGUGCCAGCAGCCGCGGUAAUACGUAGGGUGCAAGCGUUGUCCGGAAUUAUUGGGGCGUAAAGAGCUCGUAGGCGGUCUGUCGCGUCUGCUGUGAAAUCCCGAGGCUCAACCUCGGGCCUGCAGUGGGUACGGGCAGACUAGAGUGCGGUAGGGGAGAAUGGAACUCCUGGUGUAGCGGUGGAAUGCGCAGAUAUCAGGAAGAACACCGAUGGCGAAGGCAGUUCUCUGGGCCGUAACUGACGCUGAGGAGCGAAAGCGUGGGGAGCGAACAGGAUUAGAUACCCUGGUAGUCCACGCCGUAAACGUUGGGCGCUAGAUGUGGGGACCAUUCCACGGUUUCCGUGUCGCAGCUAACGCAUUAAGCGCCCCGCCUGGGGAGUACGGCCGCAAGGCUAAAACUU
RNAcentral lists this ribosomal RNA (538 nucleotides) under uncultured bacterium. RNAcentral's name for it is "partial 16S ribosomal RNA". It matches the Rfam family "Bacterial small subunit ribosomal RNA", at positions 355 to 902 of the family's 1533-position model. The record is from RNAcentral.